Long non-coding RNA from Cercocebus atys (sooty mangabey), 743 nucleotides. RefSeq lists it as uncharacterized. The record is from RefSeq and is a predicted model, not a curated record. The transcript is spliced from 2 exons. Lineage: Eukaryota; Metazoa; Chordata; Mammalia; Primates; Cercopithecidae.
GAUAUCGCGCCACUGCAGUCCAGCCUGGCAACAGAGCGAGACUCCGGCUCAAAGAAAAGAAAAAAAUGUGCAUACAGUAUCUUUCUUUGACAUUGGAAACUACUGGAGGAUGUGGUGCACCGGAAUAAGAGAAUAAACCAAGAAACAGGAAGACGUGAUCCAGGCAACAGGAUAUUCCAGUAUAGGUGAGAAAUAAAGUCUCCAGGAUGAUAAUGAAGGGAAAUCCUAGGGUGAUAGCUGGCCUGGCAGCAGGCCUAGGGAGCAAUCAGUAAGGCUAGAGCCAGAGGACAGAAGCCUCCAGGAGGGAGGUACCCAAGAAAUAAGAUGAAAUGAAUACAGGAAAAAUCUAUAGUUUUAGUGAAUGAUGGAGAAUAAAUUCAUGAUUGGUACAUAGAAACUAAGCAAAUAAAUCCCAAUUUUGUUUUUAUGUAUAAUUGACUCUAUGAAAUUUUUUUAACAAAGAAACAAAACAUAAUCAUAGUAGGCUAAAUUGCCCAGUGGUGAAUAAUAUUUACAGAGGCAUAAACGAGUAUGUCAAUUUCCACCAAGCCCAGCAUAACAUGGGCUUUCCUCUUUAUGGUCCAAGAUGGCUACUUCCUUUCCAACCACCCUGCCUGCACUCCAGCCAGCAUGAGUCCUCUUUGUUCCAGCUAUCCUGGGUUUCUUUUGGUUAACUGGGAAUUGAAUUAAUGAAAUUCAAUUAGUAAAUUAAAGCGUUAAGUUAAUACAUGUUUGAAUUAAAA